RNAcentral lists this ribosomal RNA (464 nucleotides) under Probruggmanniella phillyreae. Its description in RNAcentral is "partial large subunit ribosomal RNA". It matches the Rfam family "Eukaryotic large subunit ribosomal RNA", at positions 339 to 657 of the family's 3401-position model. Lineage: Eukaryota; Metazoa; Arthropoda; Insecta; Diptera; Cecidomyiidae. The record is from RNAcentral.
AGCGAACAAGUACCGUGAGGGAAAGUUGAAAAGUACUCUGAAUAGAGAGUUAAAUAGUACGUGAAACCGCUUAGGGGUUAAGCCCGAUGAACCCGAAUAUCUGAUGUGAGAAAUUCAAUACUGUUCUUUUUGAACAAUCAAUGCGGAUAGUAUGCAAUUUUCUCAUAGUAGGACAUUGUAAUCCAUUGAUAUUAUAUCAUUUUCAUUUUGUUAUAAUGGGAAUGAUGAUUUAACAUACGAAUAAAAUGUAUAAGUUUAUUCUAUCAGUAAUAUGUUUUAAUAUAUUAUAUGAAUAAGAUCGUUUUGUAUCUGUUUAAAUAGUCGAUGGAUUUAAAACUGAAUCAUGCUUGCAAUUUAAUUUGCGUUUCGUAUUAUCGGCCAUUUAACCGGUUGGUAAUAGUAGAAAUGGCAUGCAUUCGAUUAACAAUGCGAUAGAUUUGGGAUACUUUCAGGACCCGUCUUGA